Molecule: ribosomal RNA, 206 nt
Filed under: Chaetogaster diaphanus
Lineage: Eukaryota; Metazoa; Annelida; Clitellata; Tubificida; Naididae
Description: 5.8S ribosomal RNA
Rfam family: 5.8S ribosomal RNA (bases 24-176)
About the family: 5.8S ribosomal RNA (5.8S rRNA) is a component of the large subunit of the eukaryotic ribosome. It is transcribed by RNA polymerase I as part of the 45S precursor that also contains 18S and 28S rRNA.
Source: RNAcentral
UCUUUGAGUAUAUGAAUCAUCAUAACUCUAAGCGGUGGAUCACUCGGCUCGUGUGUCGAUGAAGAGCGCAGCCAGCUGCGUGAAGUAAUGUGAAUUGCAGGACACAUUGAACAUCGAUAUCUUGAACGCAUAUUGCGGCCUCGGGCAUUCUCGAGGCCACGCCUGUCUCAGGGUCGGUUGAAUGUAUCUAUCGAGAGUCGUCUCAA